Molecule: ribosomal RNA, 458 nt
Filed under: uncultured bacterium
Lineage: Bacteria
Description: partial 16S ribosomal RNA
Rfam family: Bacterial small subunit ribosomal RNA
Source: RNAcentral
CCUACGGGAGGCAGCAGUGGGGAAUAUUGCACAAUGGGGGAAACCCUGAUGCAGCGACGCCGCGUGAGUGAAGAAGUAAUUCGUUACGUAAAGCUCUAUCAGCAGGGAAGAAACACUGACCUUACGGUCAGCAGACGGUACCUGAGUAAGAAGCCCCGGCUAACUACGUGCCAGCAGCCGCGGUAAUACGGAGGGGGCAUGCGUUAUCCGGAUUUACUGGGUGUAAAGGGAGCGUAGACGGUGCGCCAGGUCUGGGUGGAAAUGCCGCGGCUUAACUUCGGAACUGGUUGGGAAACUGGCGAACUAGAGGGCGGGAGGGGUAAGCGGAAUUCCUAGUGUAGCGGUGAAAUGCGUAGAUAUUAGGAGGAACACCGAUGGCGAAGGCGGCUUACUGGGCCGUAACUGACGUUGAGGCACGAAAGCGUAGGGAGCAAACAGGAUUAGAUACCCGAGUAGUC